RNAcentral lists this ribosomal RNA (229 nucleotides) under uncultured bacterium. RNAcentral describes it as "partial 16S ribosomal RNA". It matches the Rfam family "Bacterial small subunit ribosomal RNA", at positions 121 to 334 of the family's 1533-position model. The record is from RNAcentral.
AUAAUCUGCCCUUUGGUCUGGAACAACUCGGGGAAACUCGAGCUAAUUCCGGAUAAGACCACAGUAUGAAAAUACAGUGGGAAAAGUGGGGGACCUCUUUGGAGGCCUCAUGCCGAAGGAUGAGUCCGCGGCCCAUCAGGUUGUUGGUGGGGUAAUGGCCUACCAAGCCUAAGACGGGCAGCUGGUCUGAGAGGAUGAUCAGCCACACUGGAACUGAGACACGGUCCAG